CCAGAAUACUUGCUAGGGGAUACAAGAAUGUGGGACAUUGGAGGUGAUUCUUUUGAUACUAUGGAGGGUACUGUUGGUGUACUUGAAGUUGCUGAUCUUUCUCUUAAUGAGCCAGAGAUGGAACGCAUGAUAUUGGAUGAUAAUGAAGCUAAUGUGGAGGAGCUAUACCCCCUGGUUUGACUGUUGACGUUAUUUUUUGGUGACCAGCUGGAUCCUGGAUGUAGCGGCAUUCACAUCAUACUUGGAGGAUCCUUGUUUUUUGGGCUAGUAUUUGGUUCAUGAAGUUGCGCUGUUGCGGGAAGGACUUCACUCCCCUUUGCGAAGCCUUCUAAUUUUUUGUUGAUAUGUAUAUAUAUAGACUAGUAAAUGUCGCGGAAAGGACUUUACUCCCUUUUGCAAAGCCUUCUAAUUUUUUGUUGAUAUGUAUAUAUAGACUAGUAAAUGUCUAUAUAACCUUUUGUUGAUAAUGGAUAUCUAUGUUCUCCUGGAA
Molecule: long non-coding RNA, 490 nt
Organism: Papaver somniferum (opium poppy)
Lineage: Eukaryota; Viridiplantae; Streptophyta; Magnoliopsida; Ranunculales; Papaveraceae
Exons: 2
Source: RefSeq, a predicted model, not a curated record